AUGGACCAUUCCAUCCCUUUUUCCUGUGCAUAUGCAUCGGAUUCGGAUGACGAAGGUCCCGAUGAACAAGUUGAUGAGGAGGGGUUCACGGUGAAGGAGGCCGAAGCUUUCGAGAAGGUAUUUGGCCGGGAUCACAAGACACCAUUGUUCAAGGAUGUUAGUCUCGCGGAUGAAGCCGUUGUGGAUGGUGGCAAAUCUAUAUCUCUUGGGGUUAGGCCAAGCUCUCAC
Molecule: ribosomal RNA, 228 nt
Filed under: Triticum aestivum (bread wheat)
Lineage: Eukaryota; Viridiplantae; Streptophyta; Magnoliopsida; Poales; Poaceae
Description: partial small subunit ribosomal RNA
Source: RNAcentral